This 403-nucleotide ribosomal RNA is filed under the name bacterium. RNAcentral describes it as "partial 16S ribosomal RNA". It matches the Rfam family "Bacterial small subunit ribosomal RNA", at positions 355 to 776 of the family's 1533-position model. The record is from RNAcentral.
UGGGGAAUAUUGCACAAUGGGGGAAACCCUGAUGCAGCGACGCCGCGUGAACGAAGAAGGUAUUCGUAUCGUAAAGUUCUGUCCUAUGGGAAGAUAAUGACAGUACCAUAGAAGAAAGCUCCGGCUAAAUACGUGCCAGCAGCCACGGUAAUACGUAUGGAGCGAGCGUUGUCCGGAAUUAUUGGGCGUAAAGGGUACGCAGGCGGUUUAAUAAGUCGAAUGUUAAAGAUCGGGGCUCAACCCCGUAAAGCAUUGGAAACUGAUAAACUUGAGUAGUGGAGAGGAAAGUGGAAUUCCUAGUGUAGUGGUGAAAUACGUAGAUAUUAGGAGGAAUACCAGUAGCGAAGGCGACUUUCUGGACACAAACUGACGCUGAGGUACGAAAGCGUGGGGAGCAAACAGG